Molecule: small RNA, 296 nt
Filed under: Pseudoruegeria sp. SK021
Lineage: Bacteria; Pseudomonadati; Pseudomonadota; Alphaproteobacteria; Rhodobacterales; Roseobacteraceae
Description: 5' ureB small RNA
Rfam family: 5' ureB small RNA
Source: Rfam by way of RNAcentral
CGGCUUCUGCCUGUUGCGGCGAAACGAAGUGAACGUGGGCAUCGAUGCCCCCGGCGGUCAGGAUCAGGUGUUCGCCCGAGAUGGCGUCGGUCCCGGCCCCAAGCGCGAGUCCCGGCGUGACGCCCGACAUCACUGACGGGUUUCCGGCCUUGCCGAUGCCGCAAAUCUCACCGUUUUUAAUUCCGACAUCGGCCUUGAUGAUGCCCAGAACCGCGUCGACAAUCGUCACGUUGGUGAUCACAAGAUCGGGCGCACCGGCCACACUCGUCAGUUCGUUGUCAAAGCCCAUGCCAUCG